RNAcentral lists this transfer RNA (64 nucleotides) under Nevrorthus apatelios. Its description in RNAcentral is "tRNA-Thr". It matches the Rfam family "tRNA". Rfam says of the family: Transfer RNA (tRNA) molecules are approximately 80 nucleotides in length. Their secondary structure includes four short double-helical elements and three loops (D, anti-codon, and T loops). Further hydrogen bonds mediate the characteristic L-shaped molecular structure. tRNAs have two regions of fundamental functional importance: the anti-codon, which is responsible for specific mRNA codon recognition, and the 3' end, to which the tRNAs corresponding amino acid is attached (by aminoacyl-tRNA synthetases). tRNAs cope with the degeneracy of the genetic code in two manners: having more than one tRNA (with a specific anti-codon) for a particular amino acid; and 'wobble' base-pairing, i.e. permitting non-standard base-pairing at the 3rd anti-codon position. Lineage: Eukaryota; Metazoa; Arthropoda; Insecta; Neuroptera; Nevrorthidae. The record is from RNAcentral.
GUUUUAAUAGUUUAAUAAAAAUAUUGGUUUUGUAAACCAAUGAUAAGAAAAUUCUUUUAAAACU